CCUACGGGUGGCUGCAGUGGGGAAUAUUGCACAAUGGGGGAAACCCUGAUGCAGCGACGCCGCGUGAGUGAAGAAGUAUUUCGGUACGUAAAGCUCUAUCAGCAGGGAAGAAAAAAAGUCCUUUGGACUUUGGACGGUACCUGACCAAGAAGCCCAGGCUACCUACGUGCCAGCAGCCGCGGUAAUACGAAGGGGGCGAGCGUUAUCCGGAAUUACUGGGUGUAAAGGGAGCGUAGACGGCGAGGUAAGCCUGAAGUGGAAGCCCGCGGCCCAACCGCGGAAUGGCUGUGGGAACAGGUUUGCUGGAGUAUGGGAGGGGUAAGCGGAAUUCCUGUGGUAGCGGUGAAAUGCGUAGAUAUCAGGAGGAACACCGGUGGCGAAGGCGGCUUACUGGACCAUAACUGACGUUGAGGCUCGAAAGCGUGGGGAGCGAACAGGAUUAGAUACCCCAGUAGUC
Molecule: ribosomal RNA, 457 nt
Filed under: uncultured bacterium
Lineage: Bacteria
Description: partial 16S ribosomal RNA
Rfam family: Bacterial small subunit ribosomal RNA
Source: RNAcentral